AAUUAAUUAAGUAUAAGGUUAUAAAAUUAUUUUUUUUUAUUAGCUAAAAAUAAUUUCGGUCUAAGUAUAUUUUAUAGGAGCGAUUAAUUUUACCUUUAGUUUUAGUUCCGUAAGGGAAGAUUUUUUUAUUUAGUUAAAAGUAGAUUUUUUAUAUCUUACCUUUUGUAUCAGGGUGAAUUAAUUUUUAUGUUUUACUUAUAUUUUCUCGAAAGUACAAGAUAUAUUUUAUUAUGUUAUGUUUUGUAAUAAAAACACUUUUAAUAUUAUUGUAGGGGUGACAUACUAUUCAUUUGUAUUAUAUCUAGUUGACUAAUAAGUAGAUUUAAUCUAUCCUUUGUUUUAUUAAUGUUAUUUUAAUUUCAUUAAUAUUUGUGAAGAGAAAUGUUCCUAGGGAUUAGCUUGGGAGUGGGUUUAUAAAUUUGUUAUAGUUGUUAAUUUUUUAGGUUUUAAAUUAUCUAUAUAGUAUUUUGUUAUAAAAAAAUUAUCUUUAUUUUUUAUUUAUUAUUAUUUAGUAUGGUAUUAGUUUAUCUAUUUUAAUUUUAUAUUUAUUGUAAUAAUGAUUUAAUUAGUAGUGGUUUGAAAUAAUUUAUAGUAACUCGGCAAUUUUAACUCUUGCCUGUUUAACAAAGACAUGGCUUUUUGUUUAUUAAUAUGAAGUCUUUACCUGCCCAAUGAUUAAUUUAAUGGCCGCAGUAUUUUGACUGUGCAAAGGUAGCAUAAUCAUUAGUCUUUUAAUUGAGGACUGGUAUGAAUGGUUUGACGGGAGUUUACUUUCUUUAUUUUAUGUUCUUUAAUUUAAUUUUUAAGUUAAAAAGCUUAGAUGUAUUUAUUAGACGAGAAGACCCUAUAGAACUUAUAUAUUUAUUUAAUUUAAUUUUGUAUGAUGAUUUGGAUUUUUUAAAUAAAUAUUUUGUUGGGGUGACAGUUAAAUUAAUUUAACUUUAGUUGUAUGUUUCAUUUGUUUGUGUGUUAUUUGAUCCUUUAUUAUUGAUUUUAAGAUUAAGUUACCUUAGGGAUAACAGCGUAAUUCUUUUGGGGAGUUCUUAUUUAUAUAAGAGUUUGCGACCUCGAUGUUGGAUUAAAGUUAAUGUUUGGGGUAGCUUUUAAAAUUAUUAAGUCUGUUCGACUUUUAAUUCUUUACAUGAUCUGAGUUCAAACCGGCGUGAGCCAGGUUGGUUUCUAUCUUUAAUAGUGUUGUAUAUUAUAGUACGAAAGGACCUAAUAUAAUAUAUGUUAUAUUUAUGUUG
Molecule: ribosomal RNA, 1247 nt
Filed under: Embiophila sp.
Lineage: Eukaryota; Metazoa; Arthropoda; Insecta; Hemiptera; Plokiophilidae
Description: 16S ribosomal RNA
Rfam family: Archaeal large subunit ribosomal RNA (bases 1015-1174)
Source: RNAcentral